GCCUCCAUAGCUCAGUGGAUAGAGCACCUGUCUUGUACACCAGGUGUCGUGAGUUCGAUCCUCACUGGGGGCU
RNAcentral lists this transfer RNA (73 nucleotides) under Haliotis rufescens (red abalone). RNAcentral's name for it is "tRNA-Thr". It matches the Rfam family "tRNA". From Rfam's summary of the family: Transfer RNA (tRNA) molecules are approximately 80 nucleotides in length. Lineage: Eukaryota; Metazoa; Mollusca; Gastropoda; Lepetellida; Haliotidae. The record is from RNAcentral.